This 735-nucleotide long non-coding RNA is filed under the name Homo sapiens (human). RNAcentral's name for it is "HSALNT0258739". Lineage: Eukaryota; Metazoa; Chordata; Mammalia; Primates; Hominidae. The record is from RNAcentral.
GUGGGCGUAGGACCCUCCGAGCCAGGUGCGGGAUAUAUUCUCGUGGUGCGCCGUUUUUUAAGCCCGUCGGAAAGGCGCAGUAUUUGGGUAGGAGUGACCCGAUUUUCCAGUGAGAUGAACCCGGUACCUCAGCUGGAAAUGCAGAAAUCACCCGUCUUCUGCGUCGCUCACGCUGGGAGCUGUAGACUGGAGCUGUAGACAGGAGCUGUUCCUAUUCGGGCAUCUUGGCUCCUCCUUGAAAACAAGCCCUGGAAAAACAAAGAAUGGAACACCCCUCCGCUGACUUCAACCAACUGCCUGCUGAUGCGGCCUGACUCCCAGCCCUUUUUGCAGUUUUGAAGUGACAAACUGACUAGGCUACAAAGUAUUCAACCAUGGGCUGGUUCUGGCUGGUUCACCGAGGCUGUGUACAAAGUGUCUUCAUGUCCUGUGUUUCACCUUUUAACAUACAGAACCUAAUUUUACUGCAUUUUAAUGUUAAUUCUCCACUCGAAGGUGAACAUGGGAUGUAUGUAACACAUAUGUUUGCUUAUCAAGCACACAUAUGACCCCCUUUCAUGAAUAUUCAUAGUUCCCCCUGUGACCUGUUGAAUAUGUCUGUUUAGCCAACCUGUUUGGCAUAAAACUCCUAUCCCACCCUAUCUCCCUCAAAGUACCUGUUUGUGGUCUCAGCUGGAGGUGCCACUUCCCAGCCUGCAGUUUGCAACCCUUCUCAAGAAAUAAAGUCUUCCUUUC